UACGUAGGGUGCAAGCGUUGUCCGGAAUUAUUGGGCGUAAAGAGCUCGUAGGCGGUCUGUCGCGUCUGCUGUGAAAACCUAGGGCUUAACUCUGGGCGUGCAGUGGGUACGGGCAGGCUAGAGUGCGGUAGGGGAGACUGGAAUUCCGUGGUGUAAGCGGUGAAAUGCGCAGAUAUCAGGAGGAACACCGGGUGGCGAAGGCGGGUCUCUGGGCCGUAACUGACGCUGAGGAGCGAAAGCAUGGGGAGUGAACAGG
Molecule: ribosomal RNA, 256 nt
Filed under: uncultured bacterium
Lineage: Bacteria
Description: partial 16S ribosomal RNA
Rfam family: Bacterial small subunit ribosomal RNA
Source: RNAcentral